GAUGUGUAAUCCGGUGAACUUUUCCCAGGACGUUGUGAGCCUUUGCGAAUGCUGCGUUUGCGUUCAGUAUCGUUCAAUAUUAUUAUUGAAUCAAAAUAGCGUAUCGCAUCGCAUAUCAGCAUCGCAAUCAUUCGGAGGAGUGCUGCUAAAUUGCUUACCUCGAGCACUACUUUAUGCAUAUUGUCCAGGUCCUUAAAGUACUCUACCGUGUCCGGAUCGGAAGCGUACAAGUGCCCGACGGCUGCAACGGCA
Molecule: long non-coding RNA, 252 nt
Organism: Anopheles gambiae (African malaria mosquito)
Lineage: Eukaryota; Metazoa; Arthropoda; Insecta; Diptera; Culicidae
Exons: 2
Source: RefSeq, a predicted model, not a curated record